CUGACCAGUGAGCCGCUGCGGAAUUAACGCUAUAUUUUCAUAAAUAACACCGACAGAACGAUCAUGAGGCGAUAAAUAUCCGCUCCGGUCAGACGCAGGAGAUUGAAGAGGGCAAAGUUCCCAGUGUCACCUGCACUCCCCCCAGCUCACCUGUGUGUGUAGAAGAAGCGUCACAAUCAGGAGAUGGGAAAGCACAAGAAUACCUGUUACCAUAGGACAAUCCCCCCGGAGCAACCUGGAGUUAAGUGUCUUACUCAUGGACACAAUGAUGGUGGCUGUGGGGAUCGAACCAGCAACCUUCUGAUUACAUAGGCACAACACGAGCAGACCUUCAAAGACGAGAAUGACAAUGCCACUUUCAAUAGACCCUCCCCGAUCUGACCCCCCAUGAGGCCUCUGAAGUCACCACCCUCCCUGCAGAAGAGCCCGCCCCUGUGAGACAGACUCCACCCCUCAGGUA
Long non-coding RNA from Xyrauchen texanus (razorback sucker), 460 nucleotides. RefSeq lists it as uncharacterized. NCBI's taxonomy places the organism in Eukaryota, Metazoa, Chordata, Actinopteri, Cypriniformes, Catostomidae. The record is from RefSeq and is a predicted model, not a curated record. The transcript is spliced from 5 exons.